UGAAAUGGCAAAUGGGAACAGUUCUAAUGU
Molecule: non-coding RNA, 30 nt
Filed under: Mus musculus (house mouse)
Lineage: Eukaryota; Metazoa; Chordata; Mammalia; Rodentia; Muridae
Source: RNAcentral